CAUCACCCCCCAGCAGGAGAAGACGAGUAUUGCCAAGUGCAUCACAGACCUGAAGGCGUUGGCUAAAGUCCAGCAGGCUAAGGCCACUGCGUAAUUCAUCGCUGUAACAGUCUAGACCUUCUCUCCUGAACCCCAACUGUUUUCAUUUCAAAUAAAACUAUUUCCUCUUUAACCAUA
Long non-coding RNA from Oncorhynchus keta (chum salmon), 177 nucleotides. RefSeq lists it as uncharacterized. The record is from RefSeq and is a predicted model, not a curated record. NCBI's taxonomy places the organism in Eukaryota, Metazoa, Chordata, Actinopteri, Salmoniformes, Salmonidae. The transcript has 2 exons.